Molecule: ribosomal RNA, 497 nt
Filed under: uncultured bacterium
Lineage: Bacteria
Description: partial 16S ribosomal RNA
Rfam family: Bacterial small subunit ribosomal RNA
Source: RNAcentral
GAUGAACGCUGGCGGCGUGCCUAAUACAUGCAAGUCGAGCGAACAGACGAGGAGCUUGCUCCUUUGACGUUAGCGGCGGACGGGUGAGUAACACGUAGGUAACCUACCUAUAAGACUGGGAUAACUUCGGGAAACCGGAGCUAAUACCGGAUAAUAUUUCGAACCGCAUGGUUCGAUAGUGAAAGAUGGCUUUGCUAUCACUUAUAGAUGGACCUGCGCCGUAUUAGCUAGUUGGUAAGGUAACGGCUUACCAAGGCAACGAUACGUAGCCGACCUGAGAGGGUGAUCGGCCACACUGGAACUGAGACACGGUCCAGACUCCUACGGGAGGCAGCAGUAGGGAAUCUUCCGCAAUGGGCGAAAGCCUGGCGGAGCAACGCCGCGUGAGUGAUGAAGGUCUUCGGAUCGUAAAACUCUGUUAUUAGGGAAGAACAAACGUGUAAGUAACUGUGCACGUCUUGACGGUACCUAAUCAGAAAGCCACGGCUAACUACGUG